UCUCACGGCUCCUGGGAUCGAAGGGACGGCCGGAGCGCUCGUCCCCUUCUACUCCGACGGCCAAGCCACCGGGAUCCCGCGUCAAGUUCUACUCCGGCGGCCGGAUCACCUCGGGUUUGUGGAACACCGGAUCUGUCCAGCUCGAGGUCCUUGUCCAUGGAUCUUGCCAGGAAAAACGAUUUUCUCCAUUGUUUCUGUCGGUGAGGCUAGAUCACACGUUAUGUGCUUAUGCUUUUCUCCUAGCUGGUGUUCAUCUGUUCUAGAUUUGCAUGUUUUUUAUGAUUUUUAUUGUGUUCCUUCUAUUCCUUUGGUACGGCUGAUUUGGCUGUAUGGUUCGAUCGAGAUUUAUAUGAUUUACAGUUCGGGAGAACUAUGUUUGUUCCAUUCUUGUGUCAAUUUGUUUCCAAACCAUGUGCAUCUCAUUUUGCAGGGAGAGGAAAUCCUCUCUUUGACUUGCUCUAUGUAGUUGCUGGCAAUGAUUUUCAGAUUUGGCGCUUGGUAGCUAAAAUACAGGGUAUAAUUUUGGUGUGGAUAUGUUGAUUUCAGUAGGGAACAUUUUCUGAGGGUGUUCAAGUAUAAUUGUUGGAAGUGUCACUGGAUUAUAGUACUGUCGCUGGAUUUUUGCUUGGAUUUAGUUGUUGGAAUAAUGCACGCCCAUGGAUAAAUUAGUGUGUUGUGGAUUAUAUUAAAUUCAGUAGGGAUUCCCUGGUCUGAGAGGGUGUUUGGAUCACUAGAGACUAGAGACUAGUG
Molecule: long non-coding RNA, 750 nt
Filed under: Triticum aestivum (bread wheat)
Lineage: Eukaryota; Viridiplantae; Streptophyta; Magnoliopsida; Poales; Poaceae
Description: long non-coding RNA (TAES_LNC008024)
Source: RNAcentral